ACGGGAGGCAGCAGCUAAGAAUAUUCCGCAAUGGACGAAAGUCUGACGGAGCGACGCCGCGUGGAUGAUGAAGGUCGGAAGAUUGUAAAAUCCUUUUUUAACUGAGGAAUAAGCGUUAUCAGAGAAAGGUAAUGUGGUGACUGUUGGUUAUGAAUAAGCAACGGCUAAUUACGUGCCAGCAGCCGCGGUAACACGUCAGUUGCGAGCGUUGUUCGGAAUUAUUGGGCGUAAAGGGCAUGUAGGCGGUUUUGCAAGGUUGAUGGGAAAGGCAGGAGCUUAACUCCUGGACUGCGUUGAGAACUGCAUGACUAGAGUCACGGAGGGGCAAUCAGAAUUCCUGGCGUAGGGGUGAAAUCUGUAGAUAUCAGGAAGAAUACCAAUGGCGAAGGCAGGUUACCAGCAGAUGACUGACGCUGAGGUGCGAAGGUGCGGGGAGCAAACAGGAUUAGAUACCCUGGUA
Molecule: ribosomal RNA, 460 nt
Filed under: uncultured Treponema sp.
Lineage: Bacteria; Pseudomonadati; Spirochaetota; Spirochaetia; Treponematales; Treponemataceae
Description: partial 16S ribosomal RNA
Rfam family: Bacterial small subunit ribosomal RNA
Source: RNAcentral